Long non-coding RNA from Drosophila ananassae, 872 nucleotides. RefSeq lists it as uncharacterized. The transcript has 2 exons. Lineage: Eukaryota; Metazoa; Arthropoda; Insecta; Diptera; Drosophilidae. The record is from RefSeq and is a predicted model, not a curated record.
UAGAAAGUUUUCCAAGUAAUCUUUUGUUCGUUUCAUUUGUUGCAGCCUGGCAAAAUUGAUUUGUCAAGCAGCCACAUUAAAAAUUGACAACUAGACAAAUUCCAGAAAGGAGCCGGUCUCCAAAUACGUGUAGAUUUUUCCAAGAUAGAUGUCAGGGAUGUCGGUUCGGACAGCCAGGCACCUACCUCUCCCCCAACCCGAUGGCAAGACCAACUGCUCGAUUUUUGUCCAGGCACGUUUCGGUCCCUGUCCAUUGUUUGUCAUUCGAGUUUCGCAGUUUGACAUAUUUCGAGAGUCCACUCUCGUUUUCGGGACACUCAAAGUUUUUUGUAAACAUUUUUCGUUGGCACGACAUUAUUAGUUAUGCAAAUUAAUGUGCAUGCAUGCGUAAAUGUGAAUAUUUAAUUUCGAGUCUACGAAGAACAUGUGACAAAAGACCAGGAUACAGGAUACAGGAAUCAGGAUUUGUUUUCUUUAUGACCCAAACCGUAACCAGACCGGCAUAUAUAUGAGCCAAGUUGGCAAUGGCACUUCUGAUGCCUGGGAUUUGAAAUUGGCAAACUUUUGUGGCUCCAGGAAACGUGUCCCAAAAUCCUGGAAAACUUCUAGCCAAAACUUUCAACUCGAAUAUCUUAAAUUUAUGCAUUGCAGUCGUCAAUUUUUAAUCGGCCUAUUAAGACCACUAAGCGGUAAAUCACUUUCAGCCUAAUGACCAACAAAACUCUCCAUGAAUCACCUGAGUCCUGGACUCACUGCGAUAGUUUACUUAUGCAUGACUCUGAUUUCCUUUCUCGGGGCUGUAAACAACACAAAAUAUAUUUAAGUACUUAAUAUGUAUGUGUAAUAAUGAAUACAGAUCGAGUUGCCUUGAA